Onychostoma macrolepis is the source of this 1182-nucleotide long non-coding RNA. RefSeq lists it as uncharacterized. NCBI's taxonomy places the organism in Eukaryota, Metazoa, Chordata, Actinopteri, Cypriniformes, Cyprinidae. The transcript has 6 exons. The record is from RefSeq and is a predicted model, not a curated record.
AUGAAUAUUAGGCUACUAUUUAUAGAACUACCCUUACUAUUAUUAUUAUUAUUAUUUAUUAUUAUUAAAUACGCUUGUAUCAUUUUUGCUUUUAUUGACCUUAAUCAGGGUAGACACCAUAUUGAAUUUAACGCUGAUGAAAACAAAAGGACGCUGUGAGGAUCAUAGUUUUCUCAUUUUUGGAACAACAUAAAGUAUAGACUCCUGACCCCCAGGCCUCUUUACUGCAUCAAAGAGCCAGACCAUGCUGAGACAGGCCUGACAUACACGCAAUGCUUUGCUGUGCUCCAGGUGUUUCCAGUCAGAACAGUCAACUUCUGGAGGAAACAGACUACAGGAGAAAUGGCCACGGGGCGUUGAGUUGAGCGCUGCAGUCACGCACAGGCACUUUAUCACGAGAGGUGACAUUAGACACUGCUGGAGCUGCCUGCUUAAAGCGUUGCCUGUUUUCAGUGUUUCUGAUGGCUUGGCUGAUUAAGUAGAUCAUGCAGACAGGUUCACCUGUGUUACUUUCAAGGUAAAUAAACUGGAAGAGCAUGAGAAUGCUAAAACUUCAAAAUAUUCAAGUGCCAUGUGGAAAACAAAGAGAAAACGCUUCCAUUUUGUGCACUUUAAUUUAAUGCACAAAUAUUCAUUUCAAAUAAUUUUGUCUGCAUAACAAUUUAAAGGGAUAAUUCACGCAAAAAUAUAAGUCUUGUCAUUUAUUCUGUGGAAAUCAGUGGCUACCAACAAUUUGAAGUUACAAUGAAGCUGACAUGAUGAGCCAUGAUAUUCCAGGGUGAUUUGAGAAUAUUUUAGAGAUCUUCAGUGGAAGCAAAAGUCUCAUCUUUACAAUGGAUCUUCAGUAUGGUCUUUUGGGCUCCACUGUGUGUGACUGUAACUUUUUAUACUAAUAUUUGCUGAAUUUACUCAUUCUGCAUCCUGUGAUAGCAUUCUGCAGUCAGACUGUCUGAUUUGCCUUCUUUGUUUGUCAGUGUUACACUCACACUCAUACAGACACAAAUGCAAAUGCAUGCAAGCAUGAAAGCAGCGUCACUGGGUGUGAUGGUGUCAGAGAGUUUAAUCCAGAGCAUCACCCUGCCACUCUGUACAGGCCGGUUCCCCUCAUUACAACACAAUGACCCUCAUGACGCCACACUCUCGUCAACCUUCAGUUUCCCAGGAAAAUGAUAAAACCCCUCA